AUGGAGAGAUGGAGAGGUUAUUACCCAAAAACACACAGCCAAUAAAUGGUGAAAGCAAGAUUUAAAUGUGGGUCCAGGGAGUUCCCCUUGUGACUCAGUGGGUUACAAACAUGAUUGGUAUCUAUGAUGAUGCAGGUUCCAUCCCUGGCCUCUCUCGGGUUAAAGAUCCCGCAAGCUGUGGUGUAGGUGGCAGACACAGCUUGGAUCCCAUGUUGCUGUGGCUGUGGUGCAGGCUGGCAGUGCCAGCUCUAAUUGAACCCCUAGCCUGGGAACUUCCAUAGCUACAGGUCCACCCUAAAUAGCCAGAAAAAAAAAAAGUGGGUCCAGAGUUCCUUCUUCUUUUAUUACAACCUGUUUGUUUUGUUUUGUUUUCGUUUUUUGUGGGGUUUUUUUUGUUUGUUGUUUUGUUUUGUUUUUUUAAGCACAGGGAGAACAUAGUAUCCAAGGAGGAAAACAAAUUUUCAACAAAAAUACCCCAAAGAGUUCAUGUUGUCCUAACAGCAAAUCUCCUCCUAAAUUUUGGGAAAUAUACUUAUAUUUUCCCAUUUGUUUCUUUGGUAAGAGGACUGUCUCUUUCCCCCAAAGCCCUAUAAACCAGCGCUGUCCAAUAGGAUUUUCUGUGAAGAUGGAAACAGCCUAUAAUCUUGCUGCCUAAUAUGGUAGCUAUUGGCCUCAUGUUGCUGUUGAAUAAGUGUAAUAUGCACUCAGGAUUUCAGAGUCUUUGUAGAAUAGAGGAAGGUAAAAUAACUCACUGACACUUUAAAAAAAUUAUUGCAUGGUAAAAUGAUAAUAUAUUUGGCUAAAUUUAACAUAUUUUAAAAUUAAUUUUACCUUUUUUCUUUUUUUUUUCACUUGUUGAACGUGGCUACUAGAAAACUUAGAAUUGCGUAUGUUGGCUGCAUGAUAUUUCUAGUGGCAUCAUAUGAUCUAGGUCGUUUGUCUAUGAAUAUGUUUAUAUAUUUACAAUUAUGUAUGUGUAUGUAUGUAUAUCUGUGUGUGUAUGUAUGUAUAUCUACCAUCUAUCUAUUGAUGGUCAUUUUAUUUUUAAUAGAAACAGUAUCACGUAGUAUACAAUGCUUUACAAUUUGUUAUCAUUUCAGAGUAAUUAGGGUUUUUUUUCCCCUCAUGUUGGUACAUAUAAAUCAACAUCAUUCUCUUAAUUACUAUAUAGCAGUGCUUAAACUGAUUUAUGAGUUGCUCAUCCAUUGAUACACAGUACAUGCUUGGAUGGAUAUAAAGUAUCAGAAGAGAAGCAGGUGCAAUUCUGGAGAAUACAGCCUUUUAAGAGGUGGACAGAGGUUAGCCCUGCAGACUGGUUUGAGAGAUAGGACCUACCCAGGACAGAGGUAUUGACAGAAACCGAGAGAUUGAAGUUCCAAGAAGGGUCAAUGGGAAUUGAUACGAAGAAUUCAAAAAAGUGAGCUUCUAAAGACUAGCGUCUGGAUGUAGCAACUAAAGAGGUGAUGGCUCACUGAGGAAGUGAGCAGAAGGAUGUCUGGAUUCCGGUGGGUUGAGGAUCAAAUAGGAAAUGCAGCAAUAGAGGAUAUGGAUGCAGGCUUGCUUCUCUUUUUGAAUCCUGUAGAAUUUUUUUUUGUUUUUCUCAUGACAGAAGUAUUUAUGCCCUGGCAAUUUUAUUCCUAUAGGGUGAAUUUUCAGAAGUGGAUCAUUGGGUUUGUGUAUUUUUAAAAAUUUUACAGACAUUUCUAAUUUAGGUUCCCAAAAGGUUGUAACAAUUCAACCAGAACAUGUGACAGUGAGAAUUCCCCCCAAUGUUUCCCAGUUCUGUGUUUUCUCUUUUCUUUCAAUUCUACUAAUCUAAUAGGCAGAAAAUGAUAUCUCUUCUUUAAAUUUAUUCUGUUUUCUUGAUUACAAAUGAGUUUGAUCAUUUUUACAUGGAUUUUUAAAUUACUUCUACUGAGAAUUCUCUAUUCUCUGUUUAUUUUUGUACUGUUGGGUUUUUUCUUUUUAUAAUUAAAAUAUCUUUUUGUACAUUACGGAGAUUAAUCCCAUUUCUACAAUAUAUGCUGUGCAAAUUUCUCCUGAGACCAUCACGGGUGUUUGACUUUUUUUUUAAUUGAACUGUAGUUUAUUUACAAUAUUAUAUUAGUUUCAGGUGUACAUCAUAGUGAUAUAGAAUCUUUGUAUAACCUUAUGUUGUUGACGAUCCUUCAGAAAAUGAAACUUAGAGAUUCGCUGGUGGCCUAGGUUAAGGAUCCAGGUGUUGUCACUACUGUGGCUCAGGUCACUGCUCUGGCAUGGGUUCCAUGGGAACUUCCACAUGUGGCAGGAGUUCCCAUCGUGGCGCAGUGGUUAACGAAUCCGACUAGGAACAAUGAGGUUGCGGGUUCGGUCCCUGCCCUUGCUCAGGGGGUUAAGGAUCCGGCAUUACCAUGAGCUGUGGUGUAGGUUGCAGACGCAGCUCGGAUCUGGCAUUGCUGUGUCUCUGGCGUAGGCCGGCAGCUACAGCUCCGAUUCGACGCCUAGCCUGGGAAUCUCCAUAUGCCACGGGAGCGGCCCAAGAAACG
Molecule: long non-coding RNA, 2525 nt
Filed under: Sus scrofa (pig)
Lineage: Eukaryota; Metazoa; Chordata; Mammalia; Artiodactyla; Suidae
Description: lncRNA (ENSSSCG00040022756.1)
Source: RNAcentral